AUGAAAUUAUGUUGUUUUUAGUGUCAGCACUGGCCUUUGUGGUUUUAUUGCCAGACAGAGACUGCCAGUUUUUAAUUACUUGUAUAAAUUGUGGUUGUUUACAUGUUCAUAAAGGUUUAAUAUGAUGUGAAAUUUAUAUACUUGCCCAUGAUAAUGCAGAAUUAAUAGAUAUAGAUAGCACAAGACCAGAGAGACUUGAGUAGAGGAGGCCCACCUACAUUUGACAAUGUGCCCUGUCC
Paramuricea clavata is the source of this 239-nucleotide non-coding RNA. Lineage: Eukaryota; Metazoa; Cnidaria; Anthozoa; Malacalcyonacea; Plexauridae. The record is from the annotation of a GenBank genome assembly.